ACAAGUGCUGAGGGGGGUCCACAGAUGGGGGCCCUAGGGAGGGGUGUGUAGGUGGGUGGGGCUGUGGGGAGGGGCGCUGCUGAUGGGGAGUCAGUAGAGGUGCACAGCUGGGUGGGGCUGUUGGAAGGGGCACACGAGUGGGUGGGGAAUGGGGAGGGGGACGCAGGUGGGGGGACCGUGGGGAGGGGUGCGCAGGUGGGGGGGGCCGUGGGGAGGGGUGUGCAGGUGGGUGGGGCCGUGGGGAGGGUUGCGCUGGUGGACGGGACCAUGGGAAGGAGCACGCUGGUCGGGGGCCCGUGGGGAGGGGUGCGCUGCUGAGGGGAGCGGUGGGGAGUGGGUGUGGGCAGAGACAGGUGUGUUGCAGACCCUCCAACAUUUCUGCUUCCAGGUAAAACUUGCAUGUGUGGGAAAUGCGUGGCAUCUAAUGUCAGUCCUGCCUUCAGUUGCUGUCACUUGAAAGAAAUUGUGUGUGUUUGUUUAACAAACAUAAAUUGAGUGCCUACUGUGUACCCACACUUCUAGAUCCUGCAGUUGCUGCCACCAUAGCUGUGAUUAGGGCAAGUCUCAGCUCCCCUGGAGUGAGUGCUCCUGUGGACCAUCAAGUGACAUGGGGACAGAUGCCACAGAGGAGUGCAGAUGGAUGUGGCCUGGGGACUAUUUGCCAACACCAGCCCCAGAAAAUAAAACUUAUGUUUGUGUAAAUAUCUAUACACAGGUAUUUCGACCCAGGCGUAAUCACCAAGUGCUGGAAGUGACACAAGCGUCCUUCAGUGGUGAGCGGAUGGCAGGGCCCCCAGGAGACCACAGGAAAGUCACGUAGAGAAGGCAUUAGGUGGGGCGUCAGAUGUGGGGGAGAACGAGCUGGAGACGGACACGGGCAUGGAGGUGUGGAUGGCCCUGGGGAGGCCCCUGGCAGCGGGUGGACGGCAGGAGAAGCGUGGAUGGCAGGAGCAGCACGGGAUGAGAGAGGUUGCAGCCACCACAAAAACUUUUCAAAAAUCAGACUGUGGAGGUCCUGUGCAGCCCGUCCCUGGCCACAAACCCAAGUCGGGGUGGAGAAAGAAUGCGUCCAUUUGAGCAGGUGCAGAGACCCUGUCAAAGAAGACAUGCAACCGUGCACCCUGCAGCCCCACGCCGGCAGCUCCGUGUUCCAGCCUGGCUCAGCCCCGCGCCGGCAGCUCCGUGUUCCAGCCUGGCUCAGCCCCGCGCCGGCAGCUCCGUGUUCCGGCCUGGCUCAGCCCCGCACCGGCAGUUCCGUGUUCCAGCCUGGAGUCAGGCUCACCCACACAUCUAGUCGGCCACUCCCCAAACCAACAAACUCAUUGCCUCACGGUCCUGGGCAUGCUGACAACCUGGGCUUUCUGCUUCAGGGCCUUUCUCCAACUGCUCCACCCCUUCAUAGACCCUCCCUGUUCCCUGUCUUGCCUCCUCUUGAACUUUGGGCCAACACUGAGCUGUGCUGCAGCCACUUGAGCACACGGGUUUCCACUCCUAGACUUUUUUAG
This 1505-nucleotide long non-coding RNA is filed under the name Papio anubis (olive baboon). RNAcentral describes it as "lncRNA (ENSPANG00000042539.1)". Lineage: Eukaryota; Metazoa; Chordata; Mammalia; Primates; Cercopithecidae. The record is from RNAcentral.